CAGAAUGUACUCCGGAAAGUCCA
This 23-nucleotide non-coding RNA is filed under the name Cricetulus griseus (Chinese hamster). Lineage: Eukaryota; Metazoa; Chordata; Mammalia; Rodentia; Cricetidae. The record is from RNAcentral.